GGCGCACGGAGCCGCCACCAUCUUCGCUGCUGCUGCCGCCGCCGCGCUCCCGAGAGCCGCCGCAUCCGCCGCGGCACCGAGUUUUCAGCCGGGCAGAGCCAGACGUCAGCAGGAGGAGGGCGGAGGUAGACGGUGGUAUUCUAGAAUGCCCACAGCAUAUUCAGCCAUCGGUGCAAAGACAAUUUCUCAUUAGGUCCUUUCCAUGGCCCACGGAAUGAAGAGCAGAUUGUCCAGCACGAGGCCAGGACAGGCCCCAGCAGAACUUCUGAAAUCCAGCUGCUAAUCCAAGAAUGCCUUUUCUAGUGGGACCCAGAACUGGAAUUGAUUAUGGGCCCAUCCAAAGCCAGGUACACCCCAGAUCUUCGGGAGCUUUAUUCUCACACAACUGUUCUAACCUUGAGGAUGACUUGAGCUCCCAUCAGCCAUCUGCCGUACAAUAAGCUGACAUCCUUAUGUAUUCUCUCUGCCAAAAGGCAACUUUUAAAAUGCUAUUAAAAAAACUGUGUACAAAUUAAACAGUCAACACAUUUUACUGCUGCUCAGUAACUAAAAUGCUUUCAGUAUGCUAUGCAAUCUAUAACUGCUGAAAUUACUUUCAUGUGUGUUUAUAAGUCUUCCUAUAUUUUCUCCUCAUUACUCCAAAUACAUUUUAAAAGCUUGUUAAGAUAGAUUUGUUGGUAUUUUGUAUCUAGCUGACUGUGCAUGUUAAAGGCUUCAACUGUAACUUUCCUAGCUUGAAACACACUAUUCUUCAUGCUGCUUGUUAAAACACAUAUCAUUCCAACCAUGUACAUUAAUUGCCUUGUCUGGGGAAACAGAACUCAGUUUAUGAAGUCUGUCAUCCUGCUUUGUAGCUUAAUUAUAAAAUAAAAUUAAUUUUCC
Molecule: long non-coding RNA, 882 nt
Organism: Motacilla alba alba
Lineage: Eukaryota; Metazoa; Chordata; Aves; Passeriformes; Motacillidae
Exons: 3
Source: RefSeq, a predicted model, not a curated record